This 393-nucleotide ribosomal RNA is filed under the name uncultured bacterium. RNAcentral describes it as "bacterial SSU rRNA". It matches the Rfam family "Bacterial small subunit ribosomal RNA", at positions 28 to 399 of the family's 1533-position model. The record is from RNAcentral.
GAUGAACGCUGGCGGCGUGCCUAACACAUGCAAGUCGAACGAAGCGCCUGGCCCCGACUUCUUCGGAACGAGGAGCCUUGCGACUGAGUGGCGGACGGGUGAGUAACGCGUGGGCAACCUGCCUUGCACUGGGGGAUAACAGCCAGAAAUGGCUGCUAAUACCGCAUAAGACCGAAGCGCCGCAUGGCGCGGCGGCCAAAGCCCCGGCGGUGCAAGAUGGGCCCGCGUUGGAUUAGCCCAGUUGGCAGGGUAACGGCCUACCAAAGCGACGAUCCAUAGCCGGCCUGAGAGGGGUGAACGGCCACAUUGGGACUGAGACACGGCCCAGACUCCUACGGGAGGCAGCAGUGGGGAAUAUUGCACAAUGGGGGAAACCCUGAUGCAGCGACGCCG